Molecule: ribosomal RNA, 253 nt
Filed under: uncultured bacterium
Lineage: Bacteria
Description: partial 16S ribosomal RNA
Rfam family: Bacterial small subunit ribosomal RNA
Source: RNAcentral
UACAGAGGAUGCAAGCGUUAUCCGGAAUUACUGGGCGUAAAGCGUCUGCAGGUGGGCUUUUAAGUCCUUUGUUAAAGCCUGAGGCUUAACCUCAGAAAGGCAAAGGAAACUAUUAGUCUAGAGGAUGGUAGAGGUAGAGGGAAUUUCCAGUGGAGCGGUGAAAUGCGUAGAUAUUGGAAAGAACGCCAAUGGCGAAAGCACUCUACUGGGCCAUUUCUGACACUCAGAGACGAAAGCUAGGGGAGCAAAUGGG